GGGAAUCUUCCGCAAUGGGCGAAAGCCUGAUGGAGCAACGCCGCGUGAGUGAAGAAGGUCUUAGGAUUGUAAAGCUCUGUCCUUAGGGAAGAACCGUGGGUAUAGAAAAUGAUACCCACCUGACGGUACCUUUGGAGGAAGCACUGGCUAACUACGUGCCAGCAGCCGCGGUAAUACGUAGAGUGCAAGCGUUGUCCGGAAUUAUUGGGCGUAAAGGGUACGCAGGCGGAUAAUCAAGUCAAGCGUGAAAGGUGUCGGCUUAACCGACAGACUGCGUUUGAAACUGGUUAUCUUGAGUGUAACAGAGGAGAGUGGAAUUCCUAGUGUAGUGGUGAAAUACGUAGAUAUUAGGAAGAACACCAGUGGCGAAGGCGACUCUCUGGGUUAACACUGACGCUGAGGUACGAAAGCUGGGGGAGCGAAAGGGAUUAGAUACCCCUGUAGUC
RNAcentral lists this ribosomal RNA (446 nucleotides) under uncultured Bacillota bacterium. Its description in RNAcentral is "bacterial SSU rRNA". It matches the Rfam family "Bacterial small subunit ribosomal RNA", at positions 357 to 795 of the family's 1533-position model. The record is from RNAcentral. Lineage: Bacteria; Bacillati; Bacillota.